GCUUUCAAAAGUAGAAUGCCUGUGGU
This 26-nucleotide non-coding RNA is filed under the name Homo sapiens (human). Lineage: Eukaryota; Metazoa; Chordata; Mammalia; Primates; Hominidae. The record is from RNAcentral.